UACGUAGGGUGCAAGCGUUAAUCGGAAUUACUGGGCGUAAAGCGUGCGCAGGCGGUCUUGCAAGACAGAUGGGAAAUCCCCGGGCUCAACCUGGGAACUGCAUUUGUGACUGCAAGGCUGGAGUACGGUAGAGGGGGAUGGAAUUCUGCGUGUAGCAGUGAAAUGCGUAGAUAUGCGGAGGAACACCGAUGGCGAAGGCAAUCCCCUGGACCUGUACUGACGCUCAUGCACGAAAGCGUGGGGAGCAAACAGG
RNAcentral lists this ribosomal RNA (253 nucleotides) under uncultured bacterium. Its description in RNAcentral is "partial 16S ribosomal RNA". It matches the Rfam family "Bacterial small subunit ribosomal RNA", at positions 524 to 776 of the family's 1533-position model. The record is from RNAcentral.